GAAGAGAUGGCUAAGUGGACUAAAGCGCCGGAUUGCUAAUUCGUACCAAGGGUUCGAAUCCCUCUCUUUUCA
Non-coding RNA from Populus tomentosa, 72 nucleotides. The record is from the annotation of a GenBank genome assembly. NCBI's taxonomy places the organism in Eukaryota, Viridiplantae, Streptophyta, Magnoliopsida, Malpighiales, Salicaceae.